Molecule: ribosomal RNA, 120 nt
Filed under: Pteropus alecto (black flying fox)
Lineage: Eukaryota; Metazoa; Chordata; Mammalia; Chiroptera; Pteropodidae
Source: RNAcentral
GUCUACGGCCAUGCUACCCUGAACAAGCCCAAUCCCAUCUGAUCUCGGAAGCUAAGCAGGGUCGAGCCUGGUUAGUACUUGGAUGGGAGACCACCUAGGAAGUCCAGGUAGGUGUAAAAA